CAGGCCCCGAGCUCGGGACUCCUCCCACCCCCGGGCACCACCGCCACCCUCUCCCUUGCUACUCGAUCGGUCUGCGCUCUUGGACAAUUUCGAGUCAAAAUCCUUUCCAGGAUGACACCAGGAUGGGUCACUGGGUCAGACUCAAACCUUGCAGUCUCUGUGGGGAAGAAAAAUGCCUUUUGACCCAGAAGAGGUGUCCCCUGUGUAGGUUUUCAGGCAGGAAAUCCCCAAGAAGUUCAGGAUACCGUGGUGGCCAGGAGCCGGCCGAGGACAAGCUGACCGAGCCCCUGUGUGGCCUUGUGCAAGUCACCGCGUCUGAAUGGCCCCCUCGGUGUCUGAGUGGGUGACUGACACGGUUCCCAUGAAGUCCCAGGCGUCCCAUGUGAGGCACGUGGUGAGCCUUUUAAAUAACUGCUGUAACAACGACGCGCGUGUGGGGAGCGCGGCGCAGCCUUGGCCGUUGCCCGCACCGCCUCCAUUCUCUGGGGGGAAAAAGAACAAGGAGGAGGCAGGCAAAGGGCCGGGGCCGGACUCUCCGACGACAUUCUCUCAGGAUGAGGGACCGGAGCGCGAGGGCCUGUGCCUGGAGCUCGACACUCGGAGAUGAGAAUGAGCGGAGGACAGAGGGGUCGCGGGCGCCCACGAUGGCAGGAUAUGAGUCCGUUAUGGGCGCAGAAGUGUGAGAGGGUUCUGGGAGUUCAGGACACUAGAGCCUAAGAGAGGACAGAUGAUUGUAAUAGGAGUUCCCGGGGACCAGGGUUAUUUGGCUCCAUUAAAAAUCAGAAAUGUGUACAGAGAAUGAAAUCCCUUCUAGA
Phacochoerus africanus (Common warthog) is the source of this 815-nucleotide long non-coding RNA. RefSeq lists it as uncharacterized. The record is from RefSeq and is a predicted model, not a curated record. The transcript has 2 exons. NCBI's taxonomy places the organism in Eukaryota, Metazoa, Chordata, Mammalia, Artiodactyla, Suidae.